Drosophila teissieri is the source of this 341-nucleotide long non-coding RNA. RefSeq lists it as uncharacterized. The record is from RefSeq and is a predicted model, not a curated record. Lineage: Eukaryota; Metazoa; Arthropoda; Insecta; Diptera; Drosophilidae. The transcript is spliced from 3 exons.
ACCCUGGUAUUUCCAUAGUGUGACCCGUCAUGUGCUGCUUUUUCCGAUGUUUUUGCCCAUCGAUUGACACUAUCGAGUGCCGAUCGACCGCCUUGUGAUCGAGGCGCCCCCUUCCCUAAGCACAUGGUGACUCCGCAAAUGCUGACAACAGAAGGAAAUUUUGGCUUAGUACUCUCUUCGGACCCCCUCUCCCUUCGAUGGACCUAGAUGUCGCGGAUGGCUGCUUUCUCUUCGGGAUUUCACCUUCGGCAUACACAUGGCAUCGACAUGGAUCCCUUUUUCCUGGAGGUGGACCAGCACUUGUGGAUGGACUCCUUUUCAGGCCGCCCUUCGACCCACAC